UUAGCACUUUCACAGAUCCUCCCCCAGGCAGUGGCACCAAGAUUUGGUAGCCUGUGGUGAGAGAAAACCCCUGAUUGCAUCCUUGGCUUGGGAACUGUACCAGUGGCAGCUGUCACUCAGUGGGAGAGAA
Molecule: small nucleolar RNA, 130 nt
Filed under: Carlito syrichta (Philippine tarsier)
Lineage: Eukaryota; Metazoa; Chordata; Mammalia; Primates; Tarsiidae
Description: Small nucleolar RNA SNORA30/SNORA37 family (ENSTSYG00000020948.2)
Rfam family: Small nucleolar RNA SNORA30/SNORA37 family
About the family: The members of this family belong to the H/ACA class of snoRNAs that guide the sites of modification of uridines to pseudouridines. This family includes human ACA30 (SNORA30), ACA37 (SNORA37) and the mouse homolog MBI-26.
Source: Rfam by way of RNAcentral